Molecule: ribosomal RNA, 499 nt
Filed under: uncultured bacterium
Lineage: Bacteria
Description: partial 16S ribosomal RNA
Rfam family: Bacterial small subunit ribosomal RNA
Source: RNAcentral
GACGAACGCUGGCGGCGUGCCUAAUACAUGCAAGUCGAGCGAAGUUUUUCUGUUUCUUGCACCGGAAACACUUAGCGGCGAACGGGUGAGUAACACGUAAAGAACCUGCCUCAUAGACUGGGACAACUAUUGGAAACGAUAGCUAAUACCGGAUAAUAGCAUUAACUGCAUGGUUGAUGUUUAAAAGUUGGUUUUGCUAACACUAUGAGAUGGCUUUGCGGUGCAUUAGCUAGUUGGUGGGGUAAAGGCCUACCAAGGCGACGAUGCAUAGCCGACCUGAGAGGGUGAUCGGCCAAACUGGGACUGAGACACGGCCCAGACUCCGACGGGAGGCAGCAGUAGGGAAUCUUCCGCAAUGGGCGAAAGCAUGACGGAGCAACGCCGCGUGAGUGAAGAAGGAUUUCGGUUCGUAAAGCUCUGUUGUUAGGGAAGAAUGAUUGUGUAGUAACGAGACACAGUAGAGACGGUACCUAACCAGAAAGCCACGGCUAACUACGUG